AAUGUGCACCACCUGUGUAACGGAAUAUUUUUAAAACAUCUACUCCCUUAAACUAGAAAAUUUUAAAUAGAUGGAUGUAUUUCUGGGUUAAUCUGAGCUACAAGAGUUAAACCAAGAAAUCAACAAGUUAAAUGGUCCCAAAAUGAAUAAGGAGAUCAGAAAAAGGAGUAAUAAGCCUUUUGACUAAAAAAAGCCAGGCCCAGAUAAAUUCACAGCAGAAUUAUACCAGAUAUCUAAAAAAUUACAAUUCAUGCUUCUUAAAUUAUUUAAAAAAUACAGACAAAGCACUUCCAUACUCCUUGUAUGAAGCCAAUAUAACUGACUCUAAAACCAAACCAAGAUGCAACAAAAAGUACAGGCCAAUAUCCCUGAUGAGUACAGAUGCAAAAAUCUCAAUAAAAUAUUUCUAGACUCAAAAGAGGCACAUAUCAAAAGAUCCUGAACUAUAACCAAGUUGACUAUCCCAGAAAUGCAGGGAUGCACGUCAAUGAAUAUAAUAAACUACAUAAAUUAAUUUAAUGACCAAAGUUAUAUAAGUAUCUCAAUAUGUGUAUGCAAAGCAUAUGACAAAUUUCACCAUGGACUAAGUGAUAACAGUCUUUGAAUGAGUAUAACUGGAGGGAAUGUGUCUCAACAUAAUAAAGGCUGUAUUUGACAAAAUCAUAUUUAACAUCAUCCUAAAUGGAGAAAAACUUUAAACAAUCCCAUUAGAAUCAAGAAUGACACAGGGCUGUAUACUAUUCCCACUCUUUAUCAAUAUACUACUCGAAGCACUAGUUAAGUCAAUAAAACAAAAGAAGAAAAUUAAAGGAAUACAAAUAGGAAAAGAAGACAUCAAACUGUCCCAGUGUGCAGAUGAUGUAAUUUAUACAUAAAAGAUCCAAAAAUUCUGACAAAAAAAACUUGUCAAAACAAUCAACAAUAUUAGCAAAGUGCAGGAUACAAAACCAAUUCAGAAAAAUCAGUAAUCUCUUUUAGAAACCAACAAAUAUGCUGAGGAAGAGAUCAUGGACUCACUUCUAUUCCCAACAGCUUCAAAAAAAUUUUCUAAGAAUAAACUUAACCAAGAAGGUGAAAGAACUCUACAGUGAAAACUUUAAAUCUCUGAAGAAACUGAUAUGUUUGCUUCUAGAUUAGCAGGCUUAAUAUUGUGAAAAUAACCCACCAAAAGCAACUUGCAGAUUUAGUGCAAUCCCAGUAAAAAUCCCCACAGCAUUUUUCACACACAUAGAAAAGAAAAGCAUCCUAAAAUUCAAAUGAACCACAAAAGACUCCAGAUAGCCAAAGCAAUCCAGAUCAAGAAGAAUAAUGCUGGAAGGAUUACCAUUGCAGAUAUCAAGAUCUAUUAUUGUGCUAUAGUAAUAAAAACAGUUUGAUACUAGCACAAAAACAGAUGUGCAGAUCAGUGGAACAAAAUAGAAGACCCAAACAUGAGCAUACAUAACUUAAACAAAAUCUAAACAGUGGCAACACCAGUUGACAUGACAAUUUAGAUGGAGGAAAUCUUUGGAGGUCUGACCCCUAGAUGAAAAGCUACAGGUAAUUAACAACUGGUAAGAAAUGAAUAAUUAGUCUUCCCCAGGGAUAGUCUCCUUAACUAGUUGUUCAGUCCCAAGUAGUCAGCACUAAAAACAUAUGCAUAGAAACAACACUAAACAGACUCAACAGGUUGCAUUUAUAUAUUUAUUUGCAUAUGUAUGUGACAAAAAUAAGAAGAGUUCACAAAUUUUGGAGGAGAGCAUAAAAGGAUUUGGAGGGAAGAAAGGGAAGGAGAAAAUAAUAUAAUUGUAUUUUAAAUAAAUAAAACUAUUUAAAAAUAAAUAUUAAUAAGGAUGGAAAAGUAGAUUGAUUAGCAAGCCAACCUCUGAAACAUUUAUAUGUUCAAGAGUGUAAACCUGACUUCAGUUUUGAAAAGGACUUUUAGAUGCAUGACUUAGAUAACUCAGCCAUUCUCUAAGCUAGAGCUCAUACAGUUGUUGCUAAUACCAUUGGCUAACCUUUGUAAUAUCUGUAAGUCACAAUAGCUCCUGCUCUAAUUUCAUGUACCUUCAUUCAAGGUAAUGUCAUUGUCACCAAAAAUCAGCAUCUGUCCACCAAAAGAAACUAACAUGGGAAACAAGCCAGGAAUUUUAAACUUCCCAAUUUCUUCAACUAAUGGCUGAAAAUCCAAGAGGGAAUUAUGGGGCUGGAGAGAUGGCUCAGCAGACAAGAGCACUUCUUGCCCUUGAACAAAACCCAGGAAAUUGGGUCUCCCAACCUUGAAGCAUAUAUAUUGAUGAUUGUUAUAUAUUUGAUGAACUAUCCUCUUUAUUAAUUAGCUGCCUCCUUGUCACUUCUGUCACUCUUCGGCUAUGACAGGCCAGACUGUAUGUAUCCCCUUGACCUGUGGUUAUUCUGGUUUCUUAAGCUGUCACAUCACUUGGUUUUUAAUAACUGAUGGUGUCAGGCCCCUGACCUCCACGUGAUAUUAUAUUACACAAUGGAAUUUAUUUCAAUUACUGACCUGCCUGCUGGAGGAAUCACAGUUUCAUAAAAAUCCACCACUGAAUCUGAGGCUUUGAGGCCUAUAGGCUUCUCCUCGGGAUCAGACUACCUAUCCUUUGUCUAGCUAACCCAGGAGCUACUUUACUUCCUCCCUUCAUGCAGUUAUGUAGCUAGAGUUUUGCUGCCUUGCCCACAGUCAGGACAAAUCUUUGUCACCCACCAGUCCCACAGCUGC
Peromyscus leucopus (white-footed mouse) is the source of this 2719-nucleotide long non-coding RNA. RefSeq lists it as uncharacterized. The record is from RefSeq and is a predicted model, not a curated record. The transcript is spliced from 4 exons. Lineage: Eukaryota; Metazoa; Chordata; Mammalia; Rodentia; Cricetidae.